Molecule: ribosomal RNA, 236 nt
Filed under: uncultured bacterium
Lineage: Bacteria
Description: partial 16S ribosomal RNA
Rfam family: Bacterial small subunit ribosomal RNA
Source: RNAcentral
UGAGUAACCUGCCCUUGACUCUGGGAUAAGCCUGGGAAACCGGGUCUAACACUGGAUAUGACCUUCUGGCGCAUGCCAUGUUGGUGGAAAGCUUUAUUGCGGUUUUGGAUGGACUCGCGGCCUAUCAGCUUUGGUUGGGGGGGUAAUGGCCUACCAAGGCGACGACGGGUAGCCGGCCUGAGAGGGUGGACGGCCACACUGGGACUGAGACACGGCCCAGACUCCUACGGGAGCAG